GUAGGGAAUCUUCCGCAAUGGACGAAAGUCUGACGGAGCAACGCCGCGUGAGUGAUGAAGGUUUUCGGAUCGUAAAACUCUGUUGUUAGGGAAGAACAAGUAUCGGAGUAACUGCCGGUACCUUGACGGUACCUAACCAGAAAGCCACGGCUAACUACGUGCCAGCAGCCGCGGUAAUACGUAGGUGGCAAGCGUUGUCCGGAAUUAUUGGGCGUAAAGCGCGCGCAGGCGGUCCUUUAAGUCUGAUGUGAAAUCUCGCGGCUCAACCGCGAGCGGUCAUUGGAAACUGGGGGACUUGAGUACAGAAGAGGAAAGCGGAAUUCCACGUGUAGCGGUGAAAUGCGUAGAGAUGUGGAGGAACACCAGUGGCGAAGGCGGCUUUCUGGUCUGUAACUGACGCUGAGGCGCGAAAGCGUGGGGAGCAAACAGGAUUAGAAACCCGAGUAGUCC
RNAcentral lists this ribosomal RNA (450 nucleotides) under uncultured bacterium. RNAcentral describes it as "bacterial SSU rRNA". It matches the Rfam family "Bacterial small subunit ribosomal RNA", at positions 354 to 796 of the family's 1533-position model. The record is from RNAcentral.